Molecule: long non-coding RNA, 205 nt
Filed under: Elaeis guineensis (African oil palm)
Lineage: Eukaryota; Viridiplantae; Streptophyta; Magnoliopsida; Arecales; Arecaceae
Description: long non-coding RNA (EGUI_LNC022957)
Source: RNAcentral
CUAAUCGAUCCUCCUGCAACACUUACACUAGGUUAAAUGUCAAUCGUAUUGAUCAUUUAAUCCUAGAACGAUUCUUAAUCGUUGAUCAACCAUCUGAUCGGAUCAUGAAUUCUAAUGUGUGUGACCUCAUAGGUCUGAACCUAAGUCGGUAGUAUAGAAAUAAAUUUCUGUACCAAUCGAAGUGACCAUCUAGCAAUGGUACCCG